Molecule: unclassified non-coding RNA, 222 nt
Filed under: Hevea brasiliensis (rubber tree)
Lineage: Eukaryota; Viridiplantae; Streptophyta; Magnoliopsida; Malpighiales; Euphorbiaceae
Source: RNAcentral
AGGUGCUUAGUGCUUGCAUGUAAUUAUAAUAUUAUUAAGCUAUUUGAGAUAAUAGCAUGUCAACAAAGGAGUUAUUCAUUAAUAAAUUAAAAAUAAUAUGUCUAGUGUUGCAUUAUAAAAUAGAUAAAUAAGGGAUGUAAUUUUUUUUUUAAUAAAAUGAUUGAAAGGAUGUAAUUGAUUUGGUAUUUAAUGGACUUUUACCUUGAUUGGCAUAUGGUUCUU